AAGUCGUAACAAGGUUUCCGUAGGUGAACCUGCGGAAGGAUCAUUACCAAAUCCAAAUCUCAACCCCAUGUGAACUGUUGUUUGUCUGUCUUUGGGGGUGGCGCUGAUUUUGCUUCUGCGCUCGCCGCUCCAGCAUUUUUUUUUUGCUGCCCCCAAAUGAAUCCGGCACUCCGGUGCUUGGGUUCACCAGCUAAACCACUUUUUAAACUUUGUUGGAAUAUCUUUUGUUAAUACUAAUAAAAGACAACUCUUAACAGUGGAUCUCUUGGCUCGUG
Molecule: unclassified non-coding RNA, 275 nt
Filed under: fungal sp.
Lineage: Eukaryota; Fungi
Description: partial internal transcribed spacer region
Rfam family: Eukaryotic small subunit ribosomal RNA (bases 1-46)
Source: RNAcentral